UAAGAAUAGCCUUCCUACAUGGGAUAGUCAGGUUAAGAUUAGAAAUAACCAAGCGUAUCCUCUAAGAUAGUUUUUUAAAUGUUUAAACUUACCUUUAAGGGAAAUAAGUGGGGGCUGACUCACGGAAAGAGGGGAUAGAAGGUAGGGAAAGGGCGAAGGCUAGAGUUAAGUGAAGAAUCCCGUACGUAGAGUGACAUCAUAGAGGACUUUUGGCUGGUGAAAAGACCAGUCGGGAAUAUA
Molecule: long non-coding RNA, 240 nt
Filed under: Homo sapiens (human)
Lineage: Eukaryota; Metazoa; Chordata; Mammalia; Primates; Hominidae
Description: HSALNT0186007
Source: RNAcentral